RNAcentral lists this long non-coding RNA (779 nucleotides) under Struthio camelus australis. Its description in RNAcentral is "lncRNA (ENSSCUG00000015580.1)". The record is from RNAcentral. Lineage: Eukaryota; Metazoa; Chordata; Aves; Struthioniformes; Struthionidae.
CUUUUUCCAAGAACACCUACCUUGGCUCUUCUGUGAUGCUUUGCACAAAUGCCUUUCUUCUGACCAGAAUGCACCUGAGAAGUGUGACUGGAUGUUUAGUAUCUUUUUCAAUUUAGAUUUAAAAUCCAAUGGGAAUAGACUGGGAGAACUUUCUAGCUCUAAAACCCGUACAACCAAACCCAAACUCUUGAUGAGUUGCUGGCAGCCACUCUAGGUGAAUACACAAGACAUCUCUAUUGUGGACCCAUUCCGCUUCAUCACUCCUAGAAAAAGCACCAGAUAUAUAUUGGAAUACUGAAGUUUCAAGAUACUGCACUGCAUGAAGUGUGCAGUUUUAUUAUCUCUUUAAGAAAGCGGAGUCUAUAAUGUGUGAUGUUUGUGUUCUGUUCUGAGGAAACGGAGCAAGGAUGUGAUGAGGAAAAAAAGUGGAAGGCGAGAGAAGCAGUGAGCUAAAAACUCAAGCACCUCCUCCCGCAGUGAUUGUAGCAUCAUCAUGUCUCCUAACUACUGCAAUUAGAGGAAGGCAAGGAAAGCAUCAUGGUUUCUGCAAACACCUGAGGCAGCUGUCCUAUUGCUUGACAUUACUGAUGGCAAUGACACAGACAAGUUUGGCGACUUUCACACUCAGCUCCCCAGUUCUAUAAUGCACUUGUUGGCAGAACUCAAAGCCCUUUGGAAAGGAGUACUGAAGCAUUCUCUGGGCCGCAAUAACAUGGAAAGUGGAGGACGUGAGUUUACACCCUCUUGUGAAAAGAAAAAUAACCAAAUUUUCUUAAAAU